RNAcentral lists this ribosomal RNA (253 nucleotides) under uncultured bacterium. Its description in RNAcentral is "partial 16S ribosomal RNA". It matches the Rfam family "Bacterial small subunit ribosomal RNA", at positions 524 to 776 of the family's 1533-position model. The record is from RNAcentral.
GCCGAGCCUCACAAACGUUAUUCGGAAUUACUGGGCUUAAAGGGUGCGUAGGCGGCGCGGAAAGUUGGGUGUGAAAUCCCUCGGCUCAACCGAGGAAUUGCGCUCAAAACUACCGUGCUCGAGGGAGAUAGAGGAGUGCGGAACUUACGGUGGAGCGGUGAAAUGCGUUGAUAUCGUAGGGAACACCGGUGGCGAAAGCGGCACUCUGGAUCUCAUCUGACGCUGAUGCACGAAAGCUAGGGUAGCAAACGGG